RNAcentral lists this ribosomal RNA (467 nucleotides) under Streptomyces sp. Its description in RNAcentral is "bacterial SSU rRNA". It matches the Rfam family "Bacterial small subunit ribosomal RNA", at positions 23 to 508 of the family's 1533-position model. The record is from RNAcentral. Lineage: Bacteria; Bacillati; Actinomycetota; Actinomycetes; Kitasatosporales; Streptomycetaceae.
CUCAGGACGAACGCUGGCGGCGUGCUUAACACAUGCAAGUCGAACGAUGAAGCCCUUCGGGGUGGAUUAGUGGCGAACGGGUGAGUAACACGUGGGCAAUCUGCCCUUCACUCUGGGACAAGCCCUGGAAACGGGGUCUAAUACCGGAUAACACUCCUGCUCUCAUGGGCAGGGGUUGAAAGCUCCGGCGGUGAAGGAUGAGCCCGCGGCCUAUCAGCUUGUUGGUGAGGUAAUGGCUCACCAAGGCGACGACGGGUAGCCGGCCUGAGAGGGCGACCGGCCACACUGGGACUGAGACACGGCCCAGACUCCUACGGGAGGCAGCAGUGGGGAAUAUUGCACAAUGGGCGAAAGCCUGAUGCAGCGACGCCGCGUGAGGGAUGACGGCCUUCGGGUUGUAAACCUCUUCAGCAGGGAAGAAGCGAAAGUGACGGUACCUGCAGAAGAAGCGCCGGCUAACUACGUGC